UACAGAGGGUGCGAGCGUUGUUCGGAAUUAUUGGGCGUAAAGGGCGCGUAGGCGGCGCGGUAAGUCACCUGUGAAAUCUCCUGGCUCAACUGGGAGCUUGCAGGCGAAACUGCCGUGCUGGAGUGUGGGAGAGGUGCGUGGAAUUCCUGGUGUAGCGGUGAAAUGCGUAGAUAUCAGGAGGAACACCUGUGGCGAAAGCGGCGCACUGGACCACAACUGACGCUGAGGCGCGAAAGCUAGGGGAGCAAACAGG
Molecule: ribosomal RNA, 253 nt
Filed under: uncultured bacterium
Lineage: Bacteria
Description: partial 16S ribosomal RNA
Rfam family: Bacterial small subunit ribosomal RNA
Source: RNAcentral